Molecule: ribosomal RNA, 467 nt
Filed under: uncultured bacterium
Lineage: Bacteria
Description: partial 16S ribosomal RNA
Rfam family: Bacterial small subunit ribosomal RNA
Source: RNAcentral
GACGAACGCUGGCGGCGUGCUUAACACAUGCAAGUCGAACGGAAAGGCCCUGCUUUUGUGGGGUGCUCGAGUGGCGAACGGGUGAGUAACACGUGAGUAACCUGCCCUUGACUUUGGGAUAACUUCAGGAAACUGGGGCUAAUACCGGAUAGGAGCUCCUGCUGCAUGGUGGGGGUUGGAAAGUUUCGGCGGUUGGGGAUGGACUCGCGGCUUAUCAGCUUGUUGGUGGGGUAGUGGCUUACCAAGGCUUUGACGGGUAGCCGGCCUGAGAGGGUGACCGGCCACAUGGGGACGGGGAUACGGCCCAGACUCCUACGGGGGGCAGCAGUGGGGAAAAUUGCACAAGGGGCGGAAGCCUGAUGCAGCAACGCCGCGGGGGGGAUGACGGCCUUCGGGUUGUAAACCGCUUUCGCCUGUGACGAAGCGUGAGUGACGGUAAUGGGAAAAGAAGCACCGGCUAACUACGU